GCACUGCCCGGGACUGGGUGUGGGGACGGCUUCCUGGCAGAUGUGAGACUCAGCGGAGCGAGAGGAGAAGGCGUCACACGAUGGGAGCACUGCUGCAACCAAUAGACCAGAGCUGGCACGGGAGAGGAAACCCACUCCCACCGGGAGAGGUUAGGUCGGGGCCAGAUUGCAGAGGACCAGUAGGUCCGGCUCUGGGCUGGAAGUCGCCCCAGAGAGAGAGAUGGCGGCCGACGUCUGAAGGAGACGUUCAGAGAGGCGGGAGCCCGCUGGUGACGGGGACCUGCAGCCUUGUGUGCAGGUGCGCCAGGUGAGAAGAGCAGGAGGCUGGCGAGAUCCGGGGAGCCAGGGGAACGGGGGGAACUGAGGGCUGAGAACUAGACGGGAGGGGGGGCUUGAUCACUUCGGAGGGAGGAGGAAGAAGGGACAGUGGCAGGGAGAGCCUCAGGGGACACA
This is a non-coding RNA of Microcebus murinus (gray mouse lemur), 453 nucleotides long. Lineage: Eukaryota; Metazoa; Chordata; Mammalia; Primates; Cheirogaleidae. The record is from RefSeq and is a predicted model, not a curated record.